RNAcentral lists this ribosomal RNA (410 nucleotides) under Pseudoalteromonas sp. Hp4. RNAcentral's name for it is "bacterial SSU rRNA". It matches the Rfam family "Bacterial small subunit ribosomal RNA", at positions 199 to 596 of the family's 1533-position model. Lineage: Bacteria; Pseudomonadati; Pseudomonadota; Gammaproteobacteria; Alteromonadales; Pseudoalteromonadaceae. The record is from RNAcentral.
GACCAUAGGGGGGUUAGGCUCUCGCCUUUACAUUGGCCCAAGUGGGAUUAGCUAGUUGGUGAGGUAAUGGCUCACCAAGGCGACGAUCCCUAGCUGGUUUGAGAGGAUGAUCAGCCACACUGGGACUGAGACACGGCCCAGACUCCUACGGGAGGCAGCAGUGGGGAAUAUUGCACAAUGGGCGCAAGCCUGAUGCAGCCAUGCCGCGUGUGUGAAGAAGGCCUUCGGGUUGUAAAGCACUUUCAGUCAGGAGGAAAGCGUGGUGGUUAAUACCCAUCAUGUGUGACGUUACUGACAGAAGAAGCACCGGCUAACUCCGUGCCAGCAGCCGCGGUAAUACGGAGGGUGCGAGCGUUAAUCGGAAUUACUGGGCGUAAAGCGUACGCAGGCGGUUUGUUAAGCGAGAUGUG